UAGGGAAUAUUGGGCAAUGGACGAAAGUCUGACCCAGCCAUGCCGCGUGCAGGAUGAAGGCCCUCUGGGUUGUAAACUGCUUUUAUAAGAGAAGAAACCCCUCUUCGUGAAGAGGGCUGACGGUACCUUAUGAAUAAGGAUCGGCUAACUCCGUGCCAGCAGCCGCGGUAAUACGGAGGAUCCAAGCGUUGUUCGGAUUUAUUGGGUUUAAAGGGUGCGUAGGCGGAUUUUUAAGUCAGUGGUGAAAGCCUGUAGCUCAACUACAGAAUUGCCAUUGAAACUGAAAAUCUUGAGUAUAGUUGAGGUGGAUGGAAUGUUGCAUGUAGCGGUGAAAUGCUUAGAUAUGCAAUGGAACACCAAUAGCGAAGGCAGUUCACUAAACUAUUACUGACGCUGAGGCACGAAGGCGUGGGUAGCAAACA
RNAcentral lists this ribosomal RNA (422 nucleotides) under uncultured bacterium. RNAcentral describes it as "bacterial SSU rRNA". It matches the Rfam family "Bacterial small subunit ribosomal RNA", at positions 355 to 774 of the family's 1533-position model. The record is from RNAcentral.